ACGAACGCUGGCGGCGUGCUUAACACAUGCCAGUCGAACGGAAAGGCCCUGCUUUUGUGGGGUGCUCGAGUGGCGAACGGGUGAGUAACACGUGAGUAACCUGCCCUUGACUUUGGGAUAACUUCAGGAAACUGGGGCUAAUACCGGAUAGGAGCUCCUGCUGCAUGGUGGGGGUUGGAAAGUUUCGGCGGUUGGGGAUGGACUCGCGGCUUAUCAGCUUGUUGGUGGGGUAGUGGCUUACCAAGGCUUUGACGGGUAGCCGGCCUGAGAGGGUGACCGGCCACAUUGGGACUGAGAUACGGCCCAGACUCCUACGGGAGGCAGCAGUGGGGAAUAUUGCACAAUGGGCGGAAGCCUGAUGCAGCAACGCCGCGUGCGGGAUGGCGGCCUUCGGGUUGUAAACCGCUUUCGCCUGUGACGAAGCGUGAGUGACGGUAAUGGGUAAAGAAGCACCGGCUAACUACGUG
RNAcentral lists this ribosomal RNA (467 nucleotides) under uncultured bacterium. RNAcentral's name for it is "partial 16S ribosomal RNA". It matches the Rfam family "Bacterial small subunit ribosomal RNA", at positions 29 to 507 of the family's 1533-position model. The record is from RNAcentral.